GAUGAAUGCUGGCGGCGUGCCUAACACAUGCAAGUCGAGCGGUAACAGAUCUAGCUUGCUAGAUGCUGACGAGCGGCGGACGGCUGAGUAACGCGUGGGAACAUACCCCAAAGUGAGGGAUAACCGCCCGAAAGGGUGGCUAAUACCGCAUAUGGUCUUCGGAUUAAAGGAUUUAUCCGCUUUGGGAAUGGCCUGCGUACGAUUAGAUAGUUGGUGAGGUAAUGGCUUACCAAGUCUACGAUCGUUAACUGGUUUAAGAGGAUGAUCAGUCAGACUGGAACUGAGACACGGUCCAGACUCCUACGGGAGGCAGCAGUGAGGAAUCUUCCACAAUGGGCGAAAGCCUGAUGGAGCAACGCCGCGUGCAGGAUGAAGGCCUUCGGGUUGUAAACUGCUUUUAUAAGUGAAGAAUAUGACGGUAACUUAUGAAUAAGCUCCGGCUAACUACGUGCCAGCAGCCGCCGUA
This 466-nucleotide ribosomal RNA is filed under the name uncultured bacterium. RNAcentral describes it as "partial 16S ribosomal RNA". It matches the Rfam family "Bacterial small subunit ribosomal RNA", at positions 28 to 522 of the family's 1533-position model. The record is from RNAcentral.